Molecule: ribosomal RNA, 491 nt
Filed under: uncultured microorganism
Description: bacterial SSU rRNA
Rfam family: Bacterial small subunit ribosomal RNA
Source: RNAcentral
GAGUUUGAUCCUGGCUCAGAACGAACGCUGGCGGCGUGGAUAAGACAUGCAAGUCGAACGGGAGAAUUGCUAGCUUGCUAAUAAUUCUCUAGUGGCGCACGGGUGAGUAACACGUGAGUAACCUGCCCCCGAGAGCGGGAUAGCCCUGGGAAACUGGGAUUAAUACCGCAUAGUAUCGAAAGAUUAAAGCAGCAAUGCGCUUGGGGAUGGGCUCGCGGCCUAUUAGUUAGUUGGUGAGGUAACGGCUCACCAAGGCGAUGACGGGUAGCCGGUCUGAGAGGAUGUCCGGCCACACUGGAACUGAGACACGGUCCAGACACCUACGGGUGGCAGCAGUCGAGAAUCAUUCACAAUGGGGGAAACCCUGAUGGUGCGACGCCGCGUGGGGGAAUGAAGGUCUUCGGAUUGUAAACCCCUGUCAUGUGGGAGCAAAUUAAAAAGAUAGUACCACAAGAGGAAGAGACGGCUAACUCUGUGCCAGCAGCCGCCGU